ACAUCUCAAUAUUGGCAGAUCAUUGCAUUAGAAUUAGAAUCUAAAUAAGCCUAU
This 54-nucleotide transfer RNA is filed under the name Loxosceles sp. 5 GJB-2008. Its description in RNAcentral is "tRNA-Leu". Lineage: Eukaryota; Metazoa; Arthropoda; Arachnida; Araneae; Sicariidae. The record is from RNAcentral.